This 377-nucleotide ribosomal RNA is filed under the name uncultured bacterium. Its description in RNAcentral is "bacterial SSU rRNA". It matches the Rfam family "Bacterial small subunit ribosomal RNA", at positions 30 to 409 of the family's 1533-position model. The record is from RNAcentral.
AUUGAACGCUGGCGGCAUGCCUUACACAUGCAAGUCGAACGGCAGCGGACCUUCGGGUGCCGGCGAGUGGCGAACGGGUGAGUAAUAUAUCGGAACGUACCUUUCAGUGGGGGAUAACGUAGCGAAAGUUACGCUAAUACCGCAUAUUCUGUGAGCAGGAAAGCAGGGGAUCGCAAGACCUUGCGCUGAUUGAGCGGCCGAUAUCAGAUUAGCUAGUUGGUGAGGUAAAGGCUCACCAAGGCGACGAUCUGUAGCGGGUCUGAGAGGAUGAUCCGCCACACUGGAACUGAGACACGGUCCAGACUCCUACGGGAGGCAGCAGUGGGGAAUUUUGGACAAUGGGCGCAAGCCUGAUCCAGCCAUGCCGCGUGAGUGAA